ACUCAAAUGAAUAGACGGGGACCCGCACAAGCGGUGGAACAUGUGGUUUAAUUCGAGGCAACGCGAAGAACCUUACCAGGCCUUGACAUGCCCUCUAUAGAGAUCAGAGAUGAUCUCUUUCACUUCGGGUGGGAGGAGCACAGGUGCUGCAUGGCUGUCGUCAGCUCGUGUCGUGAGAUGUUGGGUUAAGUCCCGCAACGAGCGCAACCCUCAUCCUCUGUUGCUAACAGGUUAAGCUGAGCACUCUGAGGAAACUGCCGGUGAUAAGCCGGAGGAAGGUGGGGAUGACGUCAAGUCCUCAUGGCCCUUACGGCCUGGGCUACACACGUGUUACAAUGGUGGUGACAAAGAGCAGCUAACCCGCGAGGGCAUGCUAAUCUCUAAAAGCCACCUCAGUUCAGAUUGUACUCUGCAACUCGAGUACAUGAAGCUGGAAUCGCUAGUAAUCGCGGAUCAGAACGCCGCGGUGAAUACGUUCCCGGGUCUUGCACACACCGCCCGU
RNAcentral lists this ribosomal RNA (502 nucleotides) under uncultured bacterium. Its description in RNAcentral is "partial 16S ribosomal RNA". It matches the Rfam family "Bacterial small subunit ribosomal RNA", at positions 899 to 1397 of the family's 1533-position model. The record is from RNAcentral.